Long non-coding RNA from Numida meleagris (helmeted guineafowl), 1501 nucleotides. RefSeq lists it as uncharacterized. The transcript has 3 exons. The record is from RefSeq and is a predicted model, not a curated record. NCBI's taxonomy places the organism in Eukaryota, Metazoa, Chordata, Aves, Galliformes, Numididae.
UUUCUGCUUUGAUAGCACAAAAGCAGUAACUUGGGCUAAACUUCUGUUUCAAGUAAGAUUUGUUCUAUAUUUUUCUCAGGAAAAUGGCUUUGAUGAAUAUUUCAAGCACUUUGUAACUCUGGAAGUGACAACAAGAGAGAGAAGCUGAUUGUGCAGAAAUAAAAGCCAGGCUACAACUAAAGGUUUUUGGCAGUCCCUGCAGCAGUCCUUCAUCAGUGUGAAAGUGGAACACUAAAAGAACAAAUUGACAACAGCACCAGAAAAUAAAAUGAAAAUAUGUCACCAUUUAGUGAUGGUGUGAGAGUUAUUUCCUGCUAUCAUCAUUCAGAGGAGCAGGAUCACACUGCAAAACAGGCGAUGAAGGUAGCAGUUGUCCCUGGUGUAAGAGCAAAAGUAAAGGCGUAUAUGUUUGUAGACCAAUGUUAAGGGACAUAGAUACCACUGUGACAGGUGCAGUGUGAAUACAACAUACACUUGGAAACAAAAGUGAGACAUUGGAGGGAAGUGAAAAUGGAAAACUUUUUGGAUGCCAGGUGGAAAAUGAUAUUAAAACUGUCAAAAUAAGUCACAACAAAGACUGAGUUUCCUAGUAGGGUAGCAGGAGUCAUGUUCCAGAGGAGAAAUUGAGUUUUUAACUACAAGAAGAAACAUCAUAAAACUGAAUGAUUAUGAACAUGUAAGGUUAAACUGGGGCUUAUCUGUAAGGCUUUUUUGCUUUGGUCUGUUUUUUUUUCUUUCCAGUGUAUCAUAUCAGUCCUGAGUUUUGUGGACAGGUCAGAAAUGUGUAAAUACCACUAUUGCUUGAGUAGUUAUCUGUUCUGGGCCUAAUUCCAAAUGCAUUUAAAUUUAUGGCAGUCCUUCUGCUGGUAUCAGGGUUAUAGUUUAGGACCUAUGAUAGGAAGAAGGAGGUGCAAAAUAUACACAAGAAAGGUUGGUUACACGGCCUCUAAAUCUAUCUGAAGUGAUUUUCUAAAACAUGGGAAGAGAAUGAAGCUGAAGACUUUGAAGUACGUAUGUUUUAUGUUGCAUCAUAAUGAAGCUUUUAUAAUGUCAGCUGCAUACAUACAGAUUCUGUAGAUUAUGAAUAAUGUGGUAUCUGAAAUAUUAGCCCUAAAUUGAUGGAAUACAUACUCUUCCUUGAAUGAUUGCUUUGGAUUUGUUUUGAAUUAUUGUAUCAUAAUAGUUAUGACUAAUUUGCAGUUGCUAAGUAUAAAAAAAUUAUAUUGCUCUUGCAUGUAUGAUUUGUGGAUAAGAGUAGUUGUGUCAAGGACAGUUAUGGGAAUUAUAGGAAUCUGCUGCCUCUGAGGAUAAGGUCCAAUAAAGUCAAUGACCUAAUUAAUAUCAGGCUCAUCAUUAUAUUCAUUUAUCAGGAAGAUUUUAAUUUGCCAUCCAUCCUUACAACCUAUUACUGCUGUUACAGCCUUACCACUGAAGUACUUUUCAUGGCUGCACCUUUUGCAGGAAUCCAGAGCUGCAUAACAUGUGCUAUCUUAGGUGCUCA